GCCCUCGUGGAUCAUGGAUGGUGAUCACUCCUUUAAAUAUCGGCCCUUCGACGUUUCUGCAAAGGAGAGUUGGAGGUUCGAAUCCUCCCGAGGGCA
This is a non-coding RNA of Mycena crocata, 96 nucleotides long. NCBI's taxonomy places the organism in Eukaryota, Fungi, Basidiomycota, Agaricomycetes, Agaricales, Mycenaceae. The record is from the annotation of a GenBank genome assembly.